CUUCAGAUCAACCAAACAAGCAUACAAACAUAGAAAUAAAAACCUUGGAAACCCCUACUCCUCAUCUUUAGAACUGCACUCAAUUUCUCUUUCCGCACCUCCCCACCCUGUGACAUGCUGCCAACAUGGCAGUGCCUGGCAGGCAAACUGGAUUCUCCUGGUUGAGUACCUGGCUCAGAGGCAGGCACUGGAAGUGGGAAUUGGCAGCUACAGGCUUUCUGGCCUGAGGAGUCCCCUGAAGUCUGAAGAUACAGCGGACUUGGGCAGACAGUACAUCUUCCUGAAAAGAAUCAACCAGUUAGUCAACUCCUUUCCCCUACGGAUGUCCUGGUCACCAAGGUGCGGUUGCGAAGAAGUCGAUUUCUUUUGGAGCAUACACCCUCACCGAAGUUCUCCUAGAACACAACAGCUGCUGCCAACAUGUGGGUACCUUGGAGGG
This is a long non-coding RNA of Tachyglossus aculeatus (Australian echidna), 439 nucleotides long. RefSeq lists it as uncharacterized. NCBI's taxonomy places the organism in Eukaryota, Metazoa, Chordata, Mammalia, Monotremata, Tachyglossidae. The transcript has 3 exons. The record is from RefSeq and is a predicted model, not a curated record.